This 301-nucleotide ribosomal RNA is filed under the name uncultured bacterium. RNAcentral describes it as "partial 16S ribosomal RNA". It matches the Rfam family "Bacterial small subunit ribosomal RNA", at positions 509 to 808 of the family's 1533-position model. The record is from RNAcentral.
CAGUAGCCGCGGGAAUACGGAGGGAGCUAGCGUUGUUCGGAAUUACUGGGCGUAAAGCGCACGUAGGCUGCUUUGUAAGUCAGAGGUGAAAGCCCGGGGCUCAACCCCGGAUGUGCCUUUGAGACUGCAGAGCUAGAAUCGCGGGGAGGUGAGUGGAAUUCCGAGUGUAGAGGUGAAAUUCGUAGAUAUUCGGAAGAACACCAGUGGCGAAGGCGGCUCACUGGACGCGUAUUGACGCUGAGGUGCGAAAGCGUGGGGAGCAAACAGGAUUAGAUACCCGCGUAGUCCCUGUCUCUUUACA